Hordeum vulgare subsp. vulgare (domesticated barley) is the source of this 136-nucleotide non-coding RNA. The record is from Rfam. Lineage: Eukaryota; Viridiplantae; Streptophyta; Magnoliopsida; Poales; Poaceae.
CAUAUACUACCUUUGUUUCAAAAUUCUUGUCUUAAAUUUGUUUAGAAAUGGAUGUAUCAAAAUACUAAAACGUGACNNGAUACAUUCAUAUCUAGACAAAUCUAAGAUAAGAAUUUCGAGACGGAGAGAGUAUGAG